UACGGAGGGGGUUAGCGUUGUUCGGAAUUACUGGGCGUAAAGCGCACGUAGGCGGAUCAGAAAGUUGGGGGUGAAAUCCCCGGGGCUCAAUCCUGGAACUGCCUCCAAAACUCCCAGUCUGGAGUUCGAGAGAGGUGAGUGGAAUUCCGAGUGCAGAGGUGAAAUUCGUAGAUAUUCGGAGGAACACCAGUGGCGAAGGCGGCUCACUGGCUCGAUACUGACGCUGAGGUGCGAAAGUGUGGGGAGCAAACAGGAUUAGAUACCCCGGUAGU
RNAcentral lists this ribosomal RNA (272 nucleotides) under uncultured bacterium. RNAcentral describes it as "partial 16S ribosomal RNA". It matches the Rfam family "Bacterial small subunit ribosomal RNA", at positions 524 to 794 of the family's 1533-position model. The record is from RNAcentral.